GCUAGCGUUUCCACUAUUCCAAAAACUUUCUGUGAUGUGCUAGGUUUCCAUAAACUUGAUGAUUGUUCUUCGAAUUUGCAUCUAGCGGAUUCCACUAUAAAUAAACCUAUGGGAAGGAUUAAUUAUGUUAUUAUUGUCGCAAAUAGGAAUUAUGUGCCCAUAGAUUUUAUUGUGCUUGAUAUAGAUUGCAAUCCUACAUGUCCUAUUAUUCUUGGUAGACCUUUCCUUAAAACGACUGGUGUAAUUAUUGAUAUGAAAGAAGGAAACAUUAGAUUUCAAUUUCUGUUAAGGAAGGGCAUGGAACUAAAAUUAAGUUUCCAUAUGAAUCUAUUAUGA
Molecule: ribosomal RNA, 336 nt
Filed under: Triticum aestivum (bread wheat)
Lineage: Eukaryota; Viridiplantae; Streptophyta; Magnoliopsida; Poales; Poaceae
Description: partial small subunit ribosomal RNA
Source: RNAcentral